RNAcentral lists this long non-coding RNA (934 nucleotides) under Capsicum annuum. RNAcentral describes it as "long non-coding RNA (CANN_LNC000294)". Lineage: Eukaryota; Viridiplantae; Streptophyta; Magnoliopsida; Solanales; Solanaceae. The record is from RNAcentral.
UUUACUGAUUUUCUUUUUAUUUCAGGUCUACAUGUUUCGACACAAACGCUUCAGUUAAAGCUUAAAGCAUCGGAAGAAUCGCUUAUUCGUAUUCGAAAUCAGUAUCUUGCUCUACACGCCAAAUUGAAAGAGAAAGAUGAAACAAGUGAGCGCAAUAGGAUUUAUACUGUUUCCCUUGUACUCUCAUCUUUAAUUUAAUUUGAGUAAAAUAAUAUAUGUUUGUUAUAAAUGUUGAUGAUCUUUUAUAUGCUUAUAUUAAAAUUUUAUUUGGUAGAUUGUAUAAGAAUAGUGUUGAACAAGGGUGGGGUAUUAGUAAAGCUGAGAUUAGUUAUUCUGAAUUUUAUCUGUUAUCCACUAUUUGAUUUAGUUAUCGUUUGGUACAAGGAAUAAAGGACUAAACCCGAGAUUAGCUUUAGAAUGGGCUCAUCCCAUGUUUGAUUGGAUAAAAUGCAUGGAUAACUUAUCCUAGGAAGAGAUAUCUCGGGAUUGUAGUGUCAUUUUAUCCCAUCUUGAGAUUGGAAUAACUAAUUCGGAGAUAAUUUAUUGCCCCGCCAAACGACCCCUUAGUGUAUUAAGGACAUUUCUAUCUUUAUUCAUGGUCAUCUACGUACUUCCUUUGUUUUAUACUACUUGGCUCUAUUGACUUGGCAAAUACUUUAAGAAAAUAUUAAUUAGAAAGACACUACAUCCUUUAUUCAAAUUCUGGCUUUGCCUCAGCCUACAACCCGCUAUACCCUCUACACCGAUUUAAUUCACAGGUGUAUCUAUGAUUUUAGUCCAUAGGUGCAGACUACUGUCUGAGUAUAUGUCGAUCAACGCAAGGAGAUUUGUUGUAUUGCCACUGCCGUCAAUAGAGUGUAUCUAUCACGAAAUUUGCUUAGCAUUAAUUUCAUGACUGUAACUUUUGGAUGCUUUGUGGUUCUGAGAUGGUUAG